RNAcentral lists this ribosomal RNA (460 nucleotides) under uncultured bacterium. Its description in RNAcentral is "partial 16S ribosomal RNA". It matches the Rfam family "Bacterial small subunit ribosomal RNA", at positions 338 to 795 of the family's 1533-position model. The record is from RNAcentral.
CCUACGGGUGGCAGCAGUGAGGAAUAUUGGUCAAUGGGCGCAAGCCUGAACCAGCCAAGUAGCGUGAAGGAUGACUGCCCUAUGGGUUGUAAACUUCUUUUAUAAGGGAAUAAAGUGCAGCACGUGUGCCUUUUUGUCUGUACUUUAUGAAUAAGCAUCGGCUAACUCCGUGCCAGCAGCCGCGGUAAUACGGAGGAUCCGAGCGUUAUCCGGAUUUAUUGGGUUUAAAGGGAGCGUAGGUGGGUUGUUAAGUCAGUUGUGAAAGUUUGCGGCUCAACCGUAAAAUUGCAGUUGAUACUGGCAGUCUUGAGUACAGUAGAGGUAGGCGGAAUGCGUGGUGUAGCGGUGAAAUGCUUAGAUAUCACGAAGAACUCCGAUUGCGAAGGCAGCUUACUGGACUGCAACUGACGGUGAUGCUCGAAAGUGUGGGUAUCAAACAGGAUUAGAUACCCCAGUAGUC